Bos indicus x Bos taurus (hybrid cattle) is the source of this 943-nucleotide long non-coding RNA. The record is from Ensembl. NCBI's taxonomy places the organism in Eukaryota, Metazoa, Chordata, Mammalia, Artiodactyla, Bovidae.
CAUUGAUGGGAGAGACACCCCAUGGCUCAGAUUUAUGAAAAUAUGCAUCAGAUUUGAAAUCGCUUACCUGAAAUGAGUAUACCAUUAUAUCAGAGCUGUAAGUGAGAAACAUGUUAUUUUUCUUCUUUUACCAGUGAAACAAGUUUUUGUUUUUUUUUUCAGACAUAUCCUUGUAAUUUCUUUUUUUUGCAGUUCUUUCAAGUCGUUCUCUGGAAAAUUUCCUGAAAUUGCCAAGAAUCUGCCACUUUCAAUAAUAUCGACUCUGAAAGAGAGAGAGAGAGGCUAGGAGAGACCGUGGGGGACAGAAGUGUUGAUUGCUGCCCAUGGCCAUGCUGGUUUCUUUUCUUCCCCUGUGUAAAGACUGCUGGCUUGGUAUCUCUGGACUCUAGUUUAUGAAGUGAGAUGGUCGGAAGCAGGACAGAAAUUGAAUAUACCAAUCAGGAAGGAGGAGCUAUUUAAUAGUAGCAACUUUGGAACACUGAAACUAACAGAAUGUCCUCAAGGAAGUUCAACUCAAUUGCCUUCCUCUGAAAAAGACGCUGAACUACGUGAUUGUUCGAUGGUCCUGGAAAGAAAUAUCUGUUUCAUUUGAAGUUUCCAUUUUACCUUUGAAACCUAGGUUUGAUGGUGUGAGAAAUGCUUGCCUUCCUUUCUUUCUCCCUGGUUGAGUUACAGAGAAUCAUUAGGUACUCAUUAGACUAAUGUGAAGGCAGAUAACACCGGUUAUGGAGCCCAUGACUCAUUUUUAAAUUUUACCAGUUCUCUUUCACUUACUGCCUAAAUUGCAGGCUUUCUUGUGACAGGUAGCUCUGAAAUAGUAGAUAUCAAAAUUUAUGACUUAAAAAAGUUAAGGUGCUUAUCUUUAGAAAAUUCCUGGUAUGAGCCAAUUACCAACCUCUUUACUUUCGUGUGUGUUUGUGUGUGUGCUCAGCCUCUUAGUUGU